AUUGAACGCUGGCGGCAGGCCUAACACAUGCAAGUCGGACGGUAGCACAGAGAGCUUGCUCUCGGGUGACGAGUGGCGGACGGGUGAGUAAUGUCUGGGGAUCUGCCCGAUAGAGGGGGAUAACCACUGGAAACGGUGGCUAAUACCGCAUAACGUCGCAAGACCAAAGAGGGGGACCUUCGGGCCUCUCACUAUCGGAUGAACCCAGAUGGGAUUAGCUAGUAGGCGGGGUAACGGCCCACCUAGGCGACGAUCCCUAGCUGGUCUGAGAGGAUGACCAGCCACACGGGAACUGGGACACGGUCCAGACUCCUACGGGAGGCAGCAGUGGGGAAUAUUGCACAAUGGGCGCAAGCCUGAUGCAGCCAUGCCGCGUGUAUGAAGAAGGCCUUCGGGUUGUAAAGUACUUUCAGCGGGGAGGAAGGCGAUGUGGUUAAUAACCGCAUUGAUUGACGUUACCCGCAGAAGAAGCACCGGCUAACUCCGUGCCAGCAGCCGCCGUAA
Molecule: ribosomal RNA, 504 nt
Filed under: uncultured bacterium
Lineage: Bacteria
Description: partial 16S ribosomal RNA
Rfam family: Bacterial small subunit ribosomal RNA
Source: RNAcentral